GAACGGGACCCGCAAAAGGGUGAGAACCCCGUUCGGUGGACGCCCGAACCUAUGUAAAGCUCCUUCCGAAGUUCGAGUAGUUUGGGAAUGCUUCUUAAACGGGAGGUAAACCCCUUCUUAAGCUAAAUCCCGGGCAGAACCCGAUAGCGCACAAAGUUAGGAAUGGAAAGAUGAAAAGCACUUUGAAAAGAGAGUUAAACAGCACGUGAAAUUGUUGAAAGGGAACCGCUUGUGGCCAGACUUGCGCCCGGCGGCUCAACCGUCCCUCGUGGGCGGUGCACUCCGCCGGGCUCAGGCCAACAUCAACUCGCUGCGGGGAAGAAAGGCGGUGGGAACGUUGGCUCUUCGGAAUGGUAUAGCCCCGCCCGCCUUGCCCUUCACGGGGCUGAAGGUUCGCCGCAAGGAUCUUGGCGUAAUGGCCAUCAACGACCCGUCUUGAAACACGGACCAAGGAGUCGUCCUUAACAUGCAAUGUUCGGGUGCAAAACCCCUACGCGCAAUGAAAGUGAACGGAGGUUAAAACUUCGGCGCAUCAUUGACCGAUCCUGAUGUUCUCGGAUGGAAUUGAGUAGGAACAUUCUUGGCCGGACCCCCAAAAAGAAGGCUAUGCUUGGAUAGGGCAAAGCCCGAGGAAACUCUUGUGGAAGGCUCCAACGGGUCUUACGUGCAAAU
RNAcentral lists this ribosomal RNA (672 nucleotides) under Corollospora intermedia. Its description in RNAcentral is "eukaryotic LSU rRNA". It matches the Rfam family "Eukaryotic large subunit ribosomal RNA", at positions 193 to 898 of the family's 3401-position model. The record is from RNAcentral. Lineage: Eukaryota; Fungi; Ascomycota; Sordariomycetes; Microascales; Halosphaeriaceae.